RNAcentral lists this long non-coding RNA (441 nucleotides) under Homo sapiens (human). RNAcentral's name for it is "non-protein coding lnc-DCT-9:1". The record is from RNAcentral. Lineage: Eukaryota; Metazoa; Chordata; Mammalia; Primates; Hominidae.
UGAAAUUGUGUCAGCAUAUUUGGAGCAGAAGUACACAAAAAGGAGUGACCCAUCUUCAAAGCAUCUCUGAAGGGACUUUGGUGCCAUUGAACAUCAAAGACUGAACACUGUUACCACAGACCAAGUCCCUUAUUUUUUUAAAAAGACACAACCAACCCAGAGAGGCAAAUUAGCCCUUGGUUAUACAAGAAGUUGUAAGAAGCAGCAUAUCUCUUAUGUCUUUUCUUUGCAGUUGCUACAGAGUAAAAGAAAAUCAAUUCGGUGUAUUCUCCAGGAGUAUGGAGGAAAACAGCCCUUAUUUCAAAAAAUUUUGGAAGGAAGAAAACCAAAAUAAUUUGUGUGGUCAUUGUUUUGUAAUACUGAUGGUGAAAUGCAUGUGAAUUAUCCAGACACAUCUUUAUUUCAGCCAUCCUAAAAUUUUGACUAGAAUUACAUAUUAAA